RNAcentral lists this ribosomal RNA (335 nucleotides) under uncultured Bacteroides sp. RNAcentral's name for it is "bacterial SSU rRNA". It matches the Rfam family "Bacterial small subunit ribosomal RNA", at positions 22 to 353 of the family's 1533-position model. Lineage: Bacteria; Pseudomonadati; Bacteroidota; Bacteroidia; Bacteroidales; Bacteroidaceae. The record is from RNAcentral.
GCUCAGGAUGAACGCUAGCUACAGGCUUAACACAUGCAAGUCGAGGGGCAUCAGGGAUUAGCAAUAAUCUGCUGGCGACCGGCGCACGGGUGAGUAACACGUAUCCAACCUUCCGAUAACUCGGGGAUAGCCUUUCGAAAGAAAGAUUAAUACUCGAUAGUAUAAAUUUUCCUCCUGGUUAAUUUAUUAAAGAAUUUCGGUUAUCGAUGGGGAUGCGUUCCAUUAGUUUGUUGGUGAGGUAACGGCUCACCAAGACUACGAUGGAUAGGGGUUCUGAGAGGAAGGUCCCCCACAUUGGAACUGAGACACGGUCCAAACUCCUACGGGAGGCAGCA